MicroRNA precursor from Equus caballus (horse), 103 nucleotides. Lineage: Eukaryota; Metazoa; Chordata; Mammalia; Perissodactyla; Equidae. The record is from Ensembl.
GAUGCCUGUGCUGGAACUGACUGACUGCUGGCAUCCUGCAAGGCAGUGUGGGAUGGAACACUGUCCUACCGGAUGCCAGUAGCCAGAGUCCCCACCUCUUUCA